GAGUUUGAUCGUGGCUCAGAACGAACGCUGGCGGCGUGCCUAACACAUGCAAGUCGAGCGAGAAAGUUCCUUCGGGAAUGAGUAAAGCGGCGCACGGGUGAGUAACACGUAGGUAACCUACCCUCGAGCCCGGAAUAACCUACCGAAAGGUGGGCUAAUACCGGAUAUGACCACGGGAGCCACGGCUCCUGCGGUGAAAGAUGGCCUAAGCUUGCAAGCUAUCACUAGGGGAUGGGCCUGCGUACCAUUAGCUAGUUGGCGGGGUAAUGGCCCACCAAGGCUAUGAUGGUUAGCUGGUCUGAGAGGAUGGCCAGCCACACUGGAACUGAAACACGGUCCAGACUCCUACGGGAGGCAGCAGUGGGGGAUAUUGCGCAAUGGGCGAAAGCCUGACGCAGCGACGCCGCGUGGGUGAUGAAGGCCUUCGGU
Molecule: ribosomal RNA, 429 nt
Filed under: uncultured delta proteobacterium
Lineage: Bacteria; Deltaproteobacteria
Description: bacterial SSU rRNA
Rfam family: Bacterial small subunit ribosomal RNA
Source: RNAcentral